UCAAAGGCCCUUUUCAGGGCCACAAAAUACAUCGAAUUUUAUAUCU
Non-coding RNA from Papilio xuthus (Asian swallowtail), 46 nucleotides. NCBI's taxonomy places the organism in Eukaryota, Metazoa, Arthropoda, Insecta, Lepidoptera, Papilionidae. The record is from Rfam.